This 900-nucleotide ribosomal RNA is filed under the name Flavobacteriaceae bacterium B-1-12. RNAcentral describes it as "bacterial SSU rRNA". It matches the Rfam family "Bacterial small subunit ribosomal RNA", at positions 45 to 944 of the family's 1533-position model. Lineage: Bacteria; Pseudomonadati; Bacteroidota; Flavobacteriia; Flavobacteriales; Flavobacteriaceae. The record is from RNAcentral.
GGCUUACACAUGCAAGUCGAGGGGUAACAUUGGAGCUUGCUUCAGAUGACGACCGGCGCACGGGUGCGUAACGCGUAUAGAACCUACCUUUUACAAAGGGAUAGCCUUUAGAAAUGAAGAUUAAUACCUUAUAGUAUUUUAGAUUAGCAUUAAUUUAAAAUUAAAGAUUUAUCGGUAAAAGAUGGCUAUGCGUUCUAUUAGCUAGAUGGAGUGGUAACGGCACCCCAUGGCUACGAUAGAUAGGGGCCCUGAGAGGGGGAUCCCCCACACUGGUACUGAGACACGGACCAGACUCCUACGGGAGGCAGCAGUGAGGAAUAUUGGACAAUGGAGGCAACUCUGAUCCAGCCAUGCCGCGUGCAGGAUGACUGCCCUAUGGGUUGUAAACUGCUUUUAUACAGGAAGAAACACUCCCUCGUGAGGGAGCUUGACGGUACUGUAAGAAUAAGGAUCGGCUAACUCCGUGCCAGCAGCCGCGGUAAUACGGAGGAUCCAAGCGUUAUCCGGAAUCAUUGGGUUUAAAGGGUCCGUAGGUGGAUAAUUAAGUCAGAGGUGAAAUCCUGCAGCUCAACUGUAGAAUUGCCUUUGAUACUGGUUAUCUUGAAUCAUUAUGAAGUAGUUAGAAUAUGUAGUGUAGCGGUGAAAUGCAUAGAUAUUACAUAGAAUACCAAUUGCGAAGGCAGAUUACUAAUAAUGUAUUGACACUGAUGGACGAAAGCGUGGGGAGCGAACAGGAUUAGAUACCCUGGUAGUCCACGCCGUAAACGAUGGUUACUAGCUGUUCGGUUUUCGGACUGAGUGGCUAAGCGAAAGUGAUAAGUAACCCACCUGGGGAGUACGUUCGCAAGAAUGAAACUCAAAGGAAUUGACGGGGGCCCGCACAAGCGGUGGAGCAUGUGG